This 305-nucleotide ribosomal RNA is filed under the name uncultured bacterium. RNAcentral's name for it is "bacterial SSU rRNA". It matches the Rfam family "Bacterial small subunit ribosomal RNA", at positions 333 to 652 of the family's 1533-position model. The record is from RNAcentral.
UUGUCCCUACGGGGCGCAGCAGUGGGGAAUAUUGGGCAAUGGGCGCAAGCCUGACCCAGCAACGCCGCGUGAAGGAAGAAGGCUUUCGGGUUGUAAACUUCUUUUCUCAGGGACGAAGAAAGUGACGGUACCUGAGGAAUAAGCCACGGCUAACUACGUGCCAGCAGCCGCGGUAAUACGUAGGGGGCAAGCGUUAUCCGGAUUUAUUGGGUGUAAAGGGCGUGUAGGCGGGAGCGCAAGUCAGAUGUGAAAACUCAGGGGUAAACCCUGAGCCUGCAUUUGAAAUGGGGUUUCUUGAGUGCUGG